RNAcentral lists this long non-coding RNA (320 nucleotides) under Gallus gallus (chicken). Lineage: Eukaryota; Metazoa; Chordata; Aves; Galliformes; Phasianidae. The record is from RNAcentral.
GUCAGUUGCUGUUCUCUCUCUUCUCUCUCCUUCAGUUUAGUCUCCAUCACAGUCAAAUUAGAUUUCAGUUGUUCCAGUUCUGAAGACAUAAGUGCAAACUGUUCUUCUUUUUGGUUUAGUUUGUUUAUUGUUUCUUGCAUAGCGCGUUGAGCAUUUUCUGCUCCAUCAACUGCACUAGUAAAUUUUUCUUUCAAAAGUUGAAGUUCCUUUUCCAAAGAAUCUUUAACUUGAUUUACUGCACUCAAAUUUUUCUCAAGGUCAAGAAGCUUUUGCUCUUUGCCCUGCAGUUCUUUGGUCAGAUUACUAACCUUGCUACUUCC